This 468-nucleotide ribosomal RNA is filed under the name uncultured bacterium. RNAcentral describes it as "partial 16S ribosomal RNA". It matches the Rfam family "Bacterial small subunit ribosomal RNA", at positions 28 to 507 of the family's 1533-position model. The record is from RNAcentral.
GACGAACGCUGGCGGCGUGCUUAACACAUGCAAGUCGAACGGAAAGGCCCUGCUUUUGUGGGAUGCUCGAGUGGCGAACGGGUGAGUAACACGUGAGUAACCUGCCCUUGACUUUGGGAUAACUUCAGGAAACUGGGGCGAAUACCGGAUAGGAGCUCCUGCUGCAUGGUGGGGGUUGGAAAGUUUCGGCGGUUGGGGAUGGACUCGCGGCUUAUCAGCGUGUUGGUGGGGUAGUGGCUUACCAAGGCUUUGACGGGUAGCCGGCCUGAGAGGGUGACCGGCCACAUUGGGACUGAGAUACGGCCCAGACUCCUACGGGAGGCAGCAGUGGGGAAUAUUGCACAAUGGGCGGAAGCCUGAUGCAGCAACGCCGCGUGCGGGAUGACGGCCUUCGGGUUGUAAACCGCUUUCGCCUGUGACGAAGCGUGAGUGACGGUAAUGGGUAAAGAAGCACCGGCUAACUACGUG